UACGUAGGGUCCAAGCGUUAUCCGGAAUCACUGGGCGUAAAGGGCGCGUAGGCGGCCUGAUAAGUAGGGGGUGAAAUCCUGUGGCUUAACUGCAGGGCUGCCUCCUAGACUGUUAGGCUCGAGCACGGUAGAGGCAGAUGGAAUUCCCGGUGUAGCGGUGGAAUGCGUAGAGAUCGGGAAGAACAUCGGUGGCGAAGGCGGUCUGCUGGGCCGUUGCUGACGCUGAGGCGCGACAGCGUGGGGAGCAAACAGG
This 253-nucleotide ribosomal RNA is filed under the name uncultured bacterium. Its description in RNAcentral is "partial 16S ribosomal RNA". It matches the Rfam family "Bacterial small subunit ribosomal RNA", at positions 524 to 776 of the family's 1533-position model. The record is from RNAcentral.